Long non-coding RNA from Mauremys reevesii (Reeves's turtle), 692 nucleotides. RefSeq lists it as uncharacterized. Lineage: Eukaryota; Metazoa; Chordata; Testudines; Geoemydidae. The record is from RefSeq and is a predicted model, not a curated record. The transcript is spliced from 5 exons.
UAGGUCUCCUGAGUCAGUGGAGUCCAGGGAUGCUGGCAGCUCAGUGCUGCCUGGAAAGCCCUGGGGCCUCUACCACCUGGUCUAGCUGAGGUGGAUUCAGCUUUGAUUGCUGGGUAGGGAGGAGAGCACCAGAGCACCUUAGAGUCACUGCUUCCCAGUAUAGAAGUUCCCAUCCUCAGUGACUUUCAAGGGACUAAUACUACAGUCAGUGAAAAUGGUUCUCCGUCAUCUACUAGAUGAAUGAAAGCACAGGCGAUAAAACACAAGAUAAUUUCCUGAAGAGCUUAAGCUGUUCACAGGAGCUGGCUGUUGCUUUGCCUAUCUUCACAAAACAGUGAUUACAGAAGUGUUCUUCUGGUUCCUGGAAUCCUACCUUAUUUAAAAUGCAAGGGGAUGCUUUAAUGAAGAACAGCUGGCUUCAUCCAGCAUGGAAACUACAAUCAUUGGCUGUACUGCCUAACCAAACUUGGAAUGCUAUAUCUGCAUUUGCAAGCAGGGCAGCCAUCAAACUGUCAUCAGAAAAAUGAACAAUGGGGACAUCACUGGAGAACAGAAUAUUUUUGUUUAUACCUUAAGGAAUAUAAACUAGCCAUAGUGCUGACUGAAAGAAAGUAAAAUACUGCAAAAAACGCUGAAAAAACAAUCCUGAAAUGUAGUACAAAAAUGACUAAGUGUGUAGUAUAGGUAUUAAA